Non-coding RNA from Cinara cedri, 277 nucleotides. Lineage: Eukaryota; Metazoa; Arthropoda; Insecta; Hemiptera; Aphididae. The record is from the annotation of a GenBank genome assembly.
CGCCACUCGUACCUUUACACGUAGGUAUAUCGUUAUAUAAUAUAGAAAUGUAUAGACGAACGAUAAAACGGGAUUUAUGGGGGGGGGGGGGGGGGGGGUGUAAAUUCCGACCUUUGCGGGAUAUAAACGCGGCGAACGGGCUCGCGAUGGACACACAUACCGGGUGAUCCAUUCAAGUGGGCACAGUCAUUGUCUCGGAAAGUAUUAACUUUUUUCGGGAUUUGUUUUCUAUAGAACAUUUCAAGAAACAAGCAGCUCUUCUUAACGAGUACCCACU